RNAcentral lists this ribosomal RNA (301 nucleotides) under uncultured bacterium. RNAcentral's name for it is "partial 16S ribosomal RNA". It matches the Rfam family "Bacterial small subunit ribosomal RNA", at positions 509 to 807 of the family's 1533-position model. The record is from RNAcentral.
CAGUAGCCGCGGUAAUACGAAGGUCCCGAGCGUUGUUCGGAAUCACUGGGCGUAAAGGGAGCGUAGGCGGCGUGGUAAGUCAGAUGUGAAAUCCCGGGGCUCAACACCGGAGCUGCAUCCGAUACUGCCGUGCUAGAGGAUUGGAGAGGUAGCUGGAAUUCUUGGUGUAGCAGUGAAAUGCGUGGAGAUCAAGAGGAACACUCGUGGCGAAAGCGAGCUACUGGACAAUAUCUGACGCUGAGGCUCGAAGGCCAGGGUAGCGAAAGGGAUUAGAUACCCCUGUAGUCCCUGUCUCUUAUAC